GGGGUCCAUUUGUAAAAACAACACAGAAUCCUUGGGAAUUCAUCAACAAAGCUCUCUUAAGCAUUUUAUCAAACACCUUGUCUACAACUCUUUGCCUACUUCUUACCUACGAAUUUCCUUCUUCCUUAGUUUGUUCCAACAAGUCCAAUUACUCUUAGGCUUACAUUGGUGCAACCCCAACACCUUUGUGCCGCACGUUGGUUCUGUGAUUAAAAUAACCACGUGACAGGUGGUAUCAGAGCGUGUUCGUUCAAAGGGACAUACUCUUGAUCGUUGCUAUCAAGUGCACGAUACCGAGAGACCAAGAUUCAAGACUCUAGUUCUUGAAACGUUGUCAAAGUAACGGAACACAGUUUCUACACCCACUUAAUCCCAGUUGACUUGUGAACAAGAUGUCCAACGAAGAAGGCCACAUUUCAGCCCAAGCUGAGCAGGUUCUUGAAGGACCUGUCACACGAGGUAGGAAGGACCGACGAUCCCCGACCCGACGAUCGAAAUCUAAGGGUCCGGAUGCAAGGGAGCAUGUCGAAACUCGCCUUGCCAACCUUGAGCAAAGUCUCGAGGAUGUCCAGCACACGGUAGAAGAGUUGGGUGAUAACUACGAAGAGCUUAUUCAGGAGAAUGUGGAAAUCUCCGCAGCAACCAAGGAGCUCGUGGCCGACCUUGGAAAAACAUUCCAAAAGGAUUUGAAGGAGUUGUCAUCAACCGUAACCACUUUGAAGACAUUUGUUGAAGGUGAGUUACGCGAACUCUAUUCUAAGUAUAUUUCCCUAGAUGCAAAGGUAGAUACUCUUUGCAUGGAAUGUCGUUCCAAGCACUUUGGUGGAGACGGUCCAUCCACCAGUACACACGCCGCUGUGCAAGGCACUACUCACAUAAAAGUGCCGAAACCUGACACAUACAAUGGGGUGAGGAAUGCCACGGUUCGUGGAAAACUUCCUCUUUGGCCUUGACCGAUACUAUGUAGCUGUCGGUGUUCGAGAUGAUGAGGCCAAGAUAAACAAUGCCCCGACAUUCCUAAGGGAUGCCGCACAACUUUGGUGGCGUCGAAGAUACGCUGACCAAAAUGGGAAUGCCAUCCAGACGUGGGAACAAUUUCAAGGCCGAGCUAAGAAAGCACUUCGUUCCCCACAAUGCUGAAAUGGAGUCAAGAGCCAAACUUCGAAGGCUAAGACACACAGGUAACAUUCUCGACUAUGUGAAGGAAUUUACCACUAUUAUGCUUGAAAUUAGUGAUCUGCCCGAGAAGGAAGCCCUAUUCCAAUUUAGAGAUGGAUUGAAAGAUUGGGCCAAGGUUGAGCUAGACCGUCGCAAUGUCCAAACAUUGGACGAUGCUAUAGCCGCAGCUGAGAUGCUUAUCGAUUAUACAACCCAAUCAAAGGAGAGAAAACCUAGUCCAAGUAAACGUGAAGGCAAUCACUACAAGCAUAGAGACUCCGAGCAAAAGGAAAAGGGAAAGAAGGCAUUCCAAAGACAUGGCAAGUAUCACAAAACUCAACAAGGUGAGUCGUCCAAACCUUCUCCCUGUUUUGUUUGUAAUGGCCCUCAUCGGACAAGAGACUGUCCGAAUAGAAAAGCAAUGAAUGCACUUGUUGCCAAAUUGCUCGAGUCCAAGCAAGGAGAUGAUACACCACAGAUUGGUUCCUUGCAACACAUUGGAGCUCUGAAACAGGCCAAUCAAACAACUAAAGGAGGCCUACUCCAUGGAAAUGUAAAGAUAAACGGGAGAGAGGCUAUUGCCAUGUUUGACACCGGUGCGAGUCAUAACUUCAUGAACGUGAAUGAGGCUAAGAGAAUAGGCCUCAAGUUCACAAACGAAGAGGGGACUGUCAAGGCGGUAAACUCGGAAGCACAAGCCAUCAAAGGUGUAGCAAGAGGUGUAACAGUCAAGAUCGGUGAUUGGCAAGGUAAGCUCGACUUCACCGUGCUACCUAUGGAUGACUUUGAUAUUGUGCUUGGCUUAGGGUUCUUCGAUAGAGUAAUUGCUAUCGUUGACUCCUCCGGAUGUACCCUGACGAUAGUGGAUGGUCAAAUAACGACCAUCCCACUAAAGAAGGGAAAACCAACAAUCAGAUUGUCAGCCAUGCUAAAUAAGGAGGGAGUCGCCGAAACCCAACAUCAAACAGUACCGUCGAGAGAGACAAAUUCUAAACCAACAGUCCCAACAGAACACAAGGACGUUAUGCUCGAGGCAAAGUCAGGAAACGCCGAUGCAGUCAAUAACGUCGUAAGCCAGAAGGCAAAACUGGCUGCUAUAACCACCAGCAUGUCCAGAAGUGACUUCCUUAACAGAAUCAAGGAACGGCACGAAGAAUGUGAUAUAUCAAGGGCAUGCCUGGCGAAGGCCGCCACUAAAAUGAAAAAGUGGGCGGACCGGAAAAGGAGGGCUAGAGAGUACCAAGUAGGGGAAAAAGUAAUGGUAAAGCUGCUACCAAACCAAUUUAAAUCCCUACGCAAGGUACAUAAAGGCCUAAUCCGAAGAUACGAAGGACCCUUCUCUAUCAUCGAGAAAGUGGGCAAAGCAGCUUAUCGAUUGGAACUUCCUCCCAGACUGAAGAUCCAUAAUGUCUUCCAUGUGAGCAUGUUGAAGCCUUUCUAUGAAGACAAGGAGGAUCCAAGCAGAGGUGAGUCCUCUCGUGCACCUACCGGCAUGAUCUCAGAGUUCGACAGGAAAAUCAAGGAGAUCUUAGCGGAGAGGAAGAUACGAAGGAGAGGAGUUCCCAGUUAUAACGAAUAUUUAAUUGCUUGGGAAGGACUACCCGAAAGCGAAGCAAGUUGGGAAAAGGAGGACACCCUAUGGCAAUUUCAAGAUGAAAUCAGAAGAUUUCAAGAAAGCGCAACGGGGACGUUGCGAAAUCGAGUGGGGGAGGGUGUCACGCCCCAAAAAUGACCCAACAGAUUUUUCGCAAAUUAAGGCUCCUUAGCAUUGCCCAAGAGGAGCCAACCAAGUCCCAAGCAGUCCAAAGACCCAAGGAAGAGAAGCAAGUUCACGCCAAGCCUAUGACACGCCAAUGUGCAGGAGAUUGGCGCGCGCGGCCCCUGUCAUGACAUGGGCGCGCGCGCGCGCAAGGGCGGCAGGCAGACAAGCGGACGCGCACGGCAGAUGGGCGCGCGCGGCAUGGACGCGCGCCGCUAGUGGUAGCGCGCGCGCGGAAGCGGACACGGAGCGCACGGAGCGCGCGGAGAAGCAUCCGGGAACCUCUCGAAGGUUCCAGAAGAAUCGCGAGCGGCCGGGAAGGCUCGCGAACACGCGCGAAGGCGCGCGCGCGACAGACGCACGCAGACGCGCGCGCGCGCCAGACGACCCCAGACGGCCCCAGACGCUUCCAGAAGCUUCUGGACAGUGUCAUGAGCGCUCAGGAAUGUUCCAGAUUGCUUUUGCCGACCUUGUAAGGCGGUUUAGGGCUUGUAAAUAGAUUGUAUACUUCUAUAAAUACCCCAAAGGGGUCCAUUUGUAAAAACAACACAGAAUCCUUGGGAAUUCAUCAACAAAGCUCUCUUAAGCAUUUUAUCAAACACCUUGUCUACAACUCUUUGCCUACUUCUUACCUACGAAUUUCCUUCUUCCUUAGUUGUUCCAACAAGUCCAAUUACUCUUAGGCUUACAUUGGUGCAACCCCAACACCUUUGUGCCGCACGUUGGUUCUGUGAUUAAAAUAACCACGUGAC
Molecule: long non-coding RNA, 3669 nt
Filed under: Cucumis sativus (cucumber)
Lineage: Eukaryota; Viridiplantae; Streptophyta; Magnoliopsida; Cucurbitales; Cucurbitaceae
Description: long non-coding RNA (CSAT_LNC001921)
Source: RNAcentral